AAACAAUAGAACCCUGCCCAAAACACAAUAGAAAAUGUUAUUGAUUUAUUCCAAGAUAACACAUGACGUACCGGUUACGUAAUGGAUUGGUACUUUUUGGUAAUUUCACGAUUUAGCAACUGGCAAGUACACAGCACUGGUGGCGGUUGGAGUAACCAUAGCAACCUGGGGACAUAACGGCGCCUGAAGAAGACAUAGGCCUACCUCCGGCUCUCCAGUACCUUCCUGAGAAUUGGCAUCAAGCAGAUUGGAUCAUCAGUCAAUCAGAACACGUCGUGUUUACACUUGGCAACAUCAACUGACUUUUCUAUCUGGAUAAAUGAUCAGAUCUGUCCUUUCCCGCGCAAUAUUUAAAUAAGUCGGCAGAGAAUGGCCUGGUGCAAAGUCAACUUGAAGUGGUGGGUUUUCUUUUGAAAAGCAUUUUCAGUCACGGGACAUUUUACAAAUCAAAGAGAAAUGUAGGAGUCUCACUAGUGCUCUUUUUUUUUUGUCUUUUUUUCUGACAGUUCAUGAGAGAGGGGGCAGCGUUUUGCGUGAUGUCGACCUGCGAAUGCAGACACGAUGACUGGAUUGCAUUUACAUUACACUGAGAUCCAAUCACAAUGCGUCCUCCACUACCUCUGGACCAGGACACACUGAUUGGAUAACAUUCUGAUCAGAAAUGCUCCUUUGCUCCACUGCUCCAGUUCCUCCACCACACCAUCAGAUCACCUGCAAGAGACAAUCUUCAAUUACCCACAGCUAAGAAACUUGCAUACCUUUACUUCCUCUAAAUACUCACCUUCAGACUGUUGCUUCUCAUCCUGCUGCCCG
Cyprinus carpio carpio is the source of this 813-nucleotide long non-coding RNA. The record is from Ensembl. NCBI's taxonomy places the organism in Eukaryota, Metazoa, Chordata, Actinopteri, Cypriniformes, Cyprinidae.